Molecule: non-coding RNA, 1759 nt
Organism: Salmo salar (Atlantic salmon)
Lineage: Eukaryota; Metazoa; Chordata; Actinopteri; Salmoniformes; Salmonidae
Source: RefSeq, a predicted model, not a curated record
UGCCUGGUUGUGGGGUCGCUCAAGGACAGGUGAACGGGAGGGGCUGGUAGAAUGGAAGCAGAAACUGUCCUAACUGUAGCAUAAAAACAGGCACUGUCCUUGGGUGUCUGACUCUCGGGUACACACAUGAAGAUAAGCUAGAAGACAACUAUGGUUGGCAACAAAGAUGCGUCUAGAUGCUGGGACCAGCCGCCAACGAUAGGAUGAAUUCGAACACAUGCAGCCUUAACAAUUUGGUGACCCCGACGUGAUCUGAAGGAACUUCGCUGGAAACACCAGCCUUUUGGGCACGGCUGUCGCCGAACGGGGUCCUCUCACAAAAAGACCGGUCUUCAAAUAACAGCCCUAUGGUAGCAUGACCAAAGCCCUACUGGGACUUGACAACCUAUCUGCUGAAAUGAAGGGUGUAGCAGGGGUAGACGAGGAGAAUUGGAUGAGUACAUUUUUUGGUAAGUACACAUCUAUGGUGGUUACUGGAUUUCUGACCCUGAUUGUUAUGUUGAUGCUAUUAAUGUGCUGUGCUGCCUGUGUAAUACAAUGUUUUAAGAAAUCUAUUACAGAUGUAGCAACUGCUUCAGGUAUGAUGCCUCUCUUAGAGGUUCCUGGGACUGAUACGGAGGCUCAAUUCCGUGCCACCAUGGGGCUUGCUAAGGAUGACCCCUGGUUUGCAGUCAAGGAAAUUGAUGAAUAAAUUGUGCUCUCCCUAUAGGUGGAUUUAAGUUCCAGAUUGGCAACGAGCCCAAUUUGUACAAAGGUUAAAGGGAUGGAGCCAAUGUUUUGGUUGUGACACCUUGCAGGUGUCAAAAGGGGGAAUCUCAAAAUUGUAUUAAAUUUUUACGUUUUUACUAAUUCUUUUUAUGUUUUCUACUAAUUCUGUUUUUAUUUUUCAAUUAUUUUGUUAAAUGACACCUAGUUGGUGUCAAAGGGGGGAUUGUGAGAUUUGGCCCUGCAUAAUGGGGUGUUAAAUUUUAACCUAUACCUUUAAGCUAAUAAGUAUUGUUGGGUUUUAUUUCACUUAUUAGAUAUGAUGCAUUACCAUUUACAGUGGAUGUAGGCCUAAGUAUGAACGGACUGUAAUGCACUAAGAGGUUUAUAUUGUAUUAACAUAGAUUGAGCAACAUAUAAUAGACAUGUCUUCCCUGUAGCUCAGUUGGUAGAGCAUGGUGUUUGCAAUGCCAGGGUUGUGGGUUCGAUUCCCACGGGGGGCCAGCACAGAAAAAAAAAAAAAUGUAUGAAAUGUAUGCAUUCACUACUGUAAGUCGCUCUGGAUAAGAGUCUCUGCUAAAUGACUAAAAAUGACUAAAAUGUACAUGAUUAACUGGAGGGUUGCUGGCUAGUAGGAGUGUAGGCUGAGUAGACUCGUGACACACACACACAAUGCCUGGUUGUGGGGUCGCUCAAGGACAGCAGAAACUGUCCUAACUGUAGCAUAAAAACAGGCACUGUCCUUGGGUGUCUGACUCUCGGGUACACACAUGAAGAUAAGCUAGAAGACAACUAUGGUUGGCAACAAAGAUGCGUCUAGAGGCUGGGACCAGCCUGCACGCCAACGAUAGGAUGAGUAAGUUUAAACCACGCUCAUCCUCCCUCUGACAGGCCAGCAGUGAGCUGGAACUAUCUCUGUCAGAGUAUUUAAUGAAGAACUUAUGAUGUCAUUUUCAGUUCUCUGUUUGCCCUGCGAGGUGUUACAGUGAAUACGGAAUUUGCAUUUGCCAUUUAUUAACCGCUGAAUAAAUAUUGACAUUAAUAUAAAAUAUAA